GCGUGAACUCGUGUUCACUCUCAGUCGGUUGUGGGUAGUCAUUGGCGGACAAAGGAGGACAAAGAAGGACAAAGAACGAACACAGGAAGGAAGCUUGCGAGCCAGAGACUCUUAUAUUCCCAUGGAAAAAUGUGAAAUGGUGCCAGUCAUUUAGUAGGGACAGUGUGGGAGUCAAACACAGUGCAAGUCCUGUAUGUUCCCUGCCUUCAAUCUUCUAGACCUCUACUGCUGGUGUCUUCUGUUUGUAAGUAUAUUCUCUUUAAGUUUUGGCGCAGACAGUGUUCGGAGAGACUGGCAAAAAAUGACUGAUAAUGAUGAAUAAAACUACAACAACAACAAUUAGCAAAACAGACCAGAUAACUCAGAUGCUGAACUGCCAGUAGCUGCUGGAAAUGUGGGACAGAGUUAGCAUUGAAUAACUUCCAGCUGGAUCUUGUCUGGAGCUUUCUGGAGUUCAUUUGAACUACAUCUGUACAGUCAACACUAUAAUUCAGGCUGGUGAGUCUGUGAUUGGUCAUCAACACCAAGAAAUGAGGAGACUUCUUUGUUCUGAUGUCUGCCAUCACUCUACUGUCCUGAGAAUCACCAUAGCGAUGACCUAGGUGUCAGAACAGGAACCAGAACAUACCUUAUUGAAAACCUAGACAUUCUCAUUCUUCCAAUCUGUCAUAGGAUUCAUGGAGGUCAUAGCCAACAUAAUACAGAUGCCCCUGUUCUAAUUUUCAUUCCUGCAAACCAAGACCAAGCUGAUGGAUAAAGUAUCGGCUGAUUCAUUUGUGUCCCUUGCUUGAAGCUGCUUCCCAUGGAAUUUUUUCACGAAGUCAUUGACUGUCGACGUGGCAUGAAGACGGAAUGUACUGAUCAGACCAAGUUUCUCGCUGUUUCCUGGCAGCCAAUGGAAGAGCCGAGAAUACCAGUGCGAGUCAAGUGUUGAAUAGCACAGAUUCCAAGCAUUGUUUCUCUCUGGUCAGAAAAAAAAUCAGAGAAAUAACUUAUCAAUGAUAUAUUCCUGUCUGUUAGUAAUGAUUGAUCGCAGACUGAAUGCUACCAUGGGUCUACUGGCAAGCUGGAAAGAUACAAAGAUAAAGAUAAUUUAUUAAACUUACUGAACAGGACAUUGGAGAAUUUUCAGUUGUGAAAGUGAAAUAGACGUUAAAAAUAUUAAGAUCAAGUGCAAAUUUGAUGGUUCAUGAUUGACAUUAACACUUACUGAAUGUAACAUUAAAGGAUGUUCAAGUGUGACAGUGAAAUAGACAUUAAACAUUAAAGAUCAAGUUGUGGUUUAAGAUAAAAUACUGAAAAGAUCAACACCAGCAUGUUAACAGUAAUGUUACAAUUUAUUUUAUGGCAUUUAGAACCCUAGCAUUGAUAUUGUACUGUAACCAACGUUCUCUAUCUUUGCUCCAUCGUGCACACAUGAGACAUUGUAAUUGACAAGAUCCUUGUUAGUUAGCUUUCAGUGUCUUCUAAUAAUUUUGGCAUAAACACUGCUGUAACAUCAGUUAGUUGAUCAAUGGUCAAUGGCAAAAUAACACCAGUUGGCUCAGUUUCGACUCUGUGUGUACACUCACAACCAAGGCUGUCUUGGUAUUAAAAUUUGAAGUAUUA
Molecule: long non-coding RNA, 1608 nt
Organism: Mercenaria mercenaria
Lineage: Eukaryota; Metazoa; Mollusca; Bivalvia; Venerida; Veneridae
Exons: 6
Source: RefSeq, a predicted model, not a curated record